Molecule: long non-coding RNA, 516 nt
Filed under: Mus caroli (Ryukyu mouse)
Lineage: Eukaryota; Metazoa; Chordata; Mammalia; Rodentia; Muridae
Description: lncRNA (MGP_CAROLIEiJ_G0004933.1)
Source: RNAcentral
UUUUGUUUUUUUCCUGCUGCCGCUUAUACUGCCUCUCUCCGAUAGGAAGAACACUACCUCUGGGUAGCCAGGAGCUGAGAUGCAGUCUGAAUGUUCACGGUGGCUUCUGACAUGGCAGCGUGAAUUCUCAGCUGGGCAGAGCCUAAGAGAUAUCAUUGUGGAUGUGGCUUUUAAUGAUUUGCGGGAGAAAAAGAAAAAGAAAAAUGACAGCCUGUGGAGACGCCGAUUGGAGAAAGCAGCACACUGUGGUUAUUGCCAAUUUGAAAUACUGGGUUUGUGAAGCCAAGCCCUAAGGGAGUAGCCGGGUAACUGAGAAAGAGAUCGUAGAUAAAGAAAUAAAAAUGACAAGCGUAAUGGAGGCUGUGCGAAGGGACUGUCAGCGCAUCCGUUCAUGGAUGGCAAUCUUGCCAGGCAGAGAUUGAAUAAUUCAUAGAUGGAAACUACCCUGCCUUCACCUUCCCAUUUAAACCGGGCAUGAGCUGAAUCUCUAAUAAAUUUUUAGAAGAUAAAGUAAAA